ACGCGCAAUGGAUAGCUCGUUGAACUUCUAAUCCAAAGGUCAUGGGUUCGAAUCCUACCUGGAAUG
This 66-nucleotide transfer RNA is filed under the name Trichonephila inaurata madagascariensis. Its description in RNAcentral is "tRNA-Arg". Lineage: Eukaryota; Metazoa; Arthropoda; Arachnida; Araneae; Nephilidae. The record is from RNAcentral.